This 605-nucleotide unclassified non-coding RNA is filed under the name Hevea brasiliensis (rubber tree). The record is from RNAcentral. Lineage: Eukaryota; Viridiplantae; Streptophyta; Magnoliopsida; Malpighiales; Euphorbiaceae.
GAUAUAUUAAUUUCAUAAAAUUCAUGUGGGGAUGAGUGAAGAAAACCACAUUUGAGGAAGCAAGCAUGUAAUGGGUUAAAAAGUUAGUCCACAUAUAUAACCAAGAACAUAAUUAGUGGCAAUGGCUUCAAUCGCCCAGCCAUCCCGCCGAAGACAUCUGGCAGCAGGAGCAUAUUGCUUCUUCAACCAGCUGAUAAUGGGCUUUCUAGUUGGGCAGUUGCCUUGCCUGCUUUAAUGAUCGCGUUUUCUAUGGUAAUGUGGCCUAGUGGCAAAUAUCGACUUUGACUUGCACAUUCUUGUAUGGGACUAAUCUGAUCCUUUCAUGAAAAUGACGUGACCUGAUCUUCAAACGUGUACAUGCUUUCUCUCGUCCAUCUUUUAGUGGGAAUUACCUGUUUCAAUGUUUCUGCAAUUUGAUUUCUUCAUGUGUCUGCACUUGAUAAGUAUCUCAACCCAAUUACACCUUGAGGACCACAAUUCUUGUUUUUUUCCUUGUCAAAGAUACUUUCAUCAUACCUAAUGCUAUUAUUUUCUCUAAUUGCAUUAACAACGACGCUCGUUGGGUAAGAUUACAACAUGUUCAGAUAAAGGAGAAGGCUAAAGAC